CGAAAGCUUUGUUUACUUUCCUCAGUUUAGCUAAAAGGAGAUUCCUGGUCGGAAUAUUAUCGCUUUUUUACGAGAAAAAUGGCAUAAAAAUUGAUUUUAAACAGCGGUUGACAUGCUUCGAAGUACGGUAAUGGAAUAUUUAGAUUUUUUUUGUCACGGAUUGCGCCAUGCGCACGACCCUUAUUUACCAUUUCAGAUAGUGUCUGGGACGCACGAACAAAACGCCGCUAUUCGGAUAUAACGAUGGAUUAUUUUGGACCAAACCAACAUUUGUUAUUGAAGUAGCAGUCCUGGGAGUGCAUUCUGACGAAGACAACAAAAGGUGUUCAGGAGAGUGGGAGUGAACCACAACAGAGCUCCAGCAUGGCUCUUCCUCCAAGGACUUCAUCCACACGUCUCCACAACUAACCUCCACCUCCAGAUGCUCAGCAGCAUCAGAUAUGGCUGCUCCAUCACCAACUGAAGAGCCACAUAGUGUGUGACACUCACUGGCAAAACACUAGCCAUCACAGAGGAUCAUGACGAGGAAAGCCCACAACAGAAGAGUUCUGACACCACUGUGCGCAGAGAUGA
RNAcentral lists this long non-coding RNA (573 nucleotides) under Salmo salar (Atlantic salmon). RNAcentral describes it as "lncRNA (ENSSSAG00000100749.1)". The record is from RNAcentral. Lineage: Eukaryota; Metazoa; Chordata; Actinopteri; Salmoniformes; Salmonidae.